UGAGGUUGAGCAUUUUGUCUUUGUGGCCUUGGUUGCAAGUUUGGAAGUUUAUAUACCCCAACACAACGAUCAUGUUCUCCAACUUACUCGAACCUAAUCUGAACAUUAAGAAACAUCCAUAUGCAAUUAUAAGACUUCAUUAAUCAAGCCAAGAACUAACCAAAUCUAGUUAUCUACACAAAAGAAACUCCAAGCAAUCAUUUUAAUAUUUGCUGAUUUUUGGACAGCAGAACAACAACUAUCUGUUUAGCUCACAAUUCAUAAAAUAUGUAUCCAAAAAUAGUAAACUAGAACUUUCUGAAAAUCUUAUAAAGUCCUCUAUAACUUUUGUAUUACCAUCACAACAAGAUUCGACCUUUAGAAAGGUCAAACAGCGCUAAACAUAAAUUCUGUCCAGAUUUGGACAGAAUUCGACUACUUACUUCUAAAAUCCAUAACUGGAGUUUCAGAAAUCCAAAUCAGGUGAUUCUAAACUUUUUAGAAAGCUAAUAGAAUUGUCUACAAUUCAUUUAUAAUCAUCUCAAGGUGAUUCAAUGUGUAUUGAAGUCAGUAAAUACAAACAAACAUUGCUGUCCGGAUUUGGACAGAUUCAGACUCUAUAGUUCAAACAGCUGUAACUUGGUCUCUAGACCACCAAAAAGGGUGCUCCAAAAUUUAAUGGAAAGCUUAAGCAAAGUACUACAAUUCUCUUAUAAUUACUAAGAGCUUAUUCUCAGUUUAACUUGGGCAAACAAGGUCAUUUUCGAAAUCUGUACAGAAUCUGGACAGAUUCUAAAACUGGACUUGGAAAAAUCAUAACUUCUAAACUACAAGACCAAUGGUCAUGAAAUUUUAGCACAAACAAGAUAAAGAAGUUAUCUACAACUUUUAUAUAUAACACUUUCAUAGAAAACAUGAUUUACUUCACUAAACUACCUGCAUACUAAAACUGAACACAGUCCAAACAGCAAGUCCAAAUAGCAAAAAUUCAAUUUAGUUCAUAUUUUGGUUAACCACAGCUUACGAACGCAUCAAUCAAAGCAUUCCUUGCCUAAACAGAACCAUCCUCUGUGUUUUAUAACAUUCAUUUAAUUAUACUUGACAUAUGUACUCUUUAAAGCACUCCUGGUAAAAUCUGCACCUAAUACCUAAACUUCCCCUCAAACAACACUUCUACUAUCCAAUCAUGACGUAAAAAAACAUGGCACACAACCAAAUUAUUUCAUCAUACAUCAAAUACCAUUACAACAAUAAUUAUAUAACCAAAUCAUUUAUUAACUAAGUAGUCGGAGAAACGACUUGGCUCACCACAUCAUGCUCCGACUUGAUUUCAGCAAGAACGAAGACGACCACCAGUUCGAGCAUAUCAUCGAACACCUAAGGAGCGUUGAACUUAACCUUCUUCUCCACCUAAUUCUCCAAGGAUUUUACUCCAUAUCGCACACAUCAACACACAUAAAACCUCACAUCAGCAGGGUAUUAACAAGAACUAGUAAAACAACAAAGGGAUUUAGAGAUCACCAUGGGAGCAGCAGAGGUGGCUGGCCACCAGAAACCAGAGAGGGGCAGCGUCUAUAGAAAAGGGAGGUUGGCAUGGGGAGGGGCUGGUGCUUGCCGCAGGAAUGGAAAAUGGC
This 1613-nucleotide long non-coding RNA is filed under the name Zea mays. RNAcentral describes it as "long non-coding RNA (ZMAY_LNC002990)". Lineage: Eukaryota; Viridiplantae; Streptophyta; Magnoliopsida; Poales; Poaceae. The record is from RNAcentral.